CGCCUCUUGCAAACAAUGAAUAAGAGGUCCCGCCUGCCCUGUGACUAUGUGUUUAACGGCCGCGGUAUUUUGACCGUGCAAAGGUAGCGCAAUCACUUGUCCUUUAAAUGAGGACCUGUAUGAAUGGCACAACGAGGGCUUAACUGUCUCCUUUUUCAAGUCAAUGAAAUUGAUCUUCCCGUGCAGAAGCGGGAAUAAAGACAUAAGACGAGAAGACCCUAUGGAGCUUUAGACACAAAACAGAUCACGUCAAACAACCUCCAAUAAGAGUAUAAACUAAGUGAGCCCUGCUUAAAUGUCUUUGGUUGGGGCGACCGCGGGGUAACAAAAAACCCCCAAGUGGAAUAAAAACACCCUUUUUAAAACUAAGAGCUACCGCUCUAAUGAACAGAAUAUCUGACCUGUGAGAUCCGGCCCAGCCGAUCAACGAACCGAGUUACCCUAGGGAUAACAGCGCAAUCCUCUUUUAGAGCCCAUAUCGACAAGAGGGUUUACGACCUCGAUGUUGGAUCAGGACAUCCUAAUGGUGCAGCCGCUAUUAAGGGUUCGUUUGUUCAACGAUUAAAGUCCU
RNAcentral lists this ribosomal RNA (571 nucleotides) under Carinotetraodon travancoricus. Its description in RNAcentral is "partial 16S rRNA". It matches the Rfam family "Bacterial large subunit ribosomal RNA", at positions 1817 to 2597 of the family's 2925-position model. Lineage: Eukaryota; Metazoa; Chordata; Actinopteri; Tetraodontiformes; Tetraodontidae. The record is from RNAcentral.